GCGCCCGAACAGGGCGCGACAAAACCCGAGCGCCAAGACGGCGGCGUCGGGGGGACAGGGUGCAAAGCACCCACGAUGAACCCCGCCCUCCAGCUCGGGUCACA
Thermococcus pacificus is the source of this 104-nucleotide non-coding RNA. The record is from Rfam. NCBI's taxonomy places the organism in Archaea, Methanobacteriati, Methanobacteriota, Thermococci, Thermococcales, Thermococcaceae.